UACAGAGGGUGCAAGCGUUGUUCGGAAUUAUUGGGCGUAAAGGGCGCGUAGGCGGUUUGUACAGUCAGAUGUGAAAUUCCUGGGCUUAACCUGGGGGCUGCAUUUGAUACGUGCAGACUUGAGUGAGGAAGAGGGUUGUGGAAUUCCCAGUGUAGAGGUGAAAUUCGUGGAUAUUGGGAAGAACACCGGUGGCGAAGGCGGCAACCUGGUCCUUGACUGACGCUGAGGCGCGAAAGCGUGGGGAGCAAACAGG
Molecule: ribosomal RNA, 253 nt
Filed under: uncultured bacterium
Lineage: Bacteria
Description: partial 16S ribosomal RNA
Rfam family: Bacterial small subunit ribosomal RNA
Source: RNAcentral